RNAcentral lists this long non-coding RNA (1486 nucleotides) under Astyanax mexicanus (Mexican tetra). RNAcentral's name for it is "lncRNA (ENSAMXG00005025366.1)". Lineage: Eukaryota; Metazoa; Chordata; Actinopteri; Characiformes; Acestrorhamphidae. The record is from RNAcentral.
GAAGUUACAAACUACAAACGAAGGGAUUUCUAUAUUCAGCAAAAUCUAAAACCCCCCAAAAAUCGGAAUAAUGUCUUUGAUCAAGUGGACUUUCCUCUGGUCAGCAGUUUUGAUGAUACGUCACGCUGGCUCAUCAAACGAUUCAGGGAAUGGCCAUUGCACAACCACAGCAGCUGGACCAGCUGGAGCAGAAAAGGCCAGAAAAGCCUGUAAAAAACUGAUUACCAUAACAAACACGUCAUCUGUGGGAUCCUUCAAUUUAACAUCAGCCUGCACAUGCUUUUACACACACACCGGCUGUAAUAUAUCAGGAUCAAGUUAUCACAAGAUAAUAGGAGAUCACUGUCUGAUGUACAUCUCAGACCAGUCGCCCACAGGUUUCUGCUUGUUCAACACAUCCAACAGCCAACUAAACUUUACUGUGACCAAAAAUAGCAGCUCGUAUGAAUUAAGUUUAGAUAAAAAUCUUACUGAUGACAUAAUUCUGCGGUUUCUACAAAAUAUUUCUACAGUUCUGCCAUCACAGAACCAGACUAAUGCAGGUAUCUGCCCCAAUAACACUCUCACCUUCCAGGAUCUCUGCAAGAACAUGACACAUUGUUGGAAUACAACAUGCAGCCCAGAUAGCAGAUGCUUUAUUCAGGUUCAAGACAUUAAAAACAUGGAAUGCAGAGGCUGCUGUCAACCAACUACAUCAAAACCAACCACAUCAAGUUUAACUACACCAAGUUCACCUACAUUACAACCAACUACUCCCAGUCAAUCAAAAAAGAAUUCAGAAGCAUUACAUUUGAUGGUUAACCUCAAAGAAAAAGCGAAAUCAAUUUGUGAUAAUUGCACGUCAGCGAUUGAAAUGGCAAGUGCUAAAGGACUUCUUGUAAAACAUGCGAAGAAUGAAAGCGUGAAAAUCGGAUAUGAUGACAACUGGGGCGUGGUGGUUGUGGCUGACACUUCACAGGAGUCAAAGUGGUCUGUAACGGUUCCAGAAGAAGCGUUCAGUAUGGCACGUAUGCAAAUGAAUGAAACACCUUUCGUCGGGGUUGUGCGAUUCCAAGAUCUUGUACAGACCAUCAUAGACAAUGAUUCAACACUGUAUUUCAAAAGUGAUGUUUUUGGAAUAUCGAUGGGGGUCAAUAUUACUAAUCUCACAAACAGCAUUGACAUCUACUUCAGAAAUCUGAGUAUGACUGCUUCAAACUGGACCUGUACGUCUUCAGAUAGUGCAGAUACGUGGACCUCAUCUGGCUGUAAAACCAAAUUCAUAAACAACACAAUUCAGUGUUCUUGUACUCACCUGACCUUCUUUGCGCUCCUGAUGGUAAGAAUCUGUAUCUGUAUUUUCAUACACUGUUUACUCGGGAAUACAUAAAGUAUUUACUGGAGUGAUUCAUAAUACAGCUCUGGAAAAAAUGAAGAGAGCACUUCAGUUUCUGAAUCAGUUUCUCUGAUUUUGCUAUUUAUAGGUUUAUGUUUGAGUAAAAUGAAC